This 64-nucleotide transfer RNA is filed under the name Dipodomys ordii (Ord's kangaroo rat). It matches the Rfam family "tRNA". Rfam says of the family: Transfer RNA (tRNA) molecules are approximately 80 nucleotides in length. Their secondary structure includes four short double-helical elements and three loops (D, anti-codon, and T loops). Further hydrogen bonds mediate the characteristic L-shaped molecular structure. tRNAs have two regions of fundamental functional importance: the anti-codon, which is responsible for specific mRNA codon recognition, and the 3' end, to which the tRNAs corresponding amino acid is attached (by aminoacyl-tRNA synthetases). tRNAs cope with the degeneracy of the genetic code in two manners: having more than one tRNA (with a specific anti-codon) for a particular amino acid; and 'wobble' base-pairing, i.e. permitting non-standard base-pairing at the 3rd anti-codon position. The record is from Rfam by way of RNAcentral. Lineage: Eukaryota; Metazoa; Chordata; Mammalia; Rodentia; Heteromyidae.
GGUGGCUCAGUGGUAAAGUGCUUGCCUUGCAUGCAUGAGGCCCUGGGUUUGAUUCCCAGCACCA